CGAACGCUGGCGGCGUGCCUAAUACAUGCAAGUCGAGCGGAAUGAUGAAGAAGCUUGCUUCUUCUGAUUUUAGCGGCGGACGGGUGAGUAACACGUGGGCAACCUACCUUGUAGAUUGGGAUAACUCCGGGAAACCGGGGCUAAUACCGAAUAAACCAUUUUGCUUCAUGGCAAGAUGUUGAAAGGCGGCUUCGGCUGUCACUACGAGAUGGGCCCGCGGCGUAUUAGCUAGUUGGUAGGGUAAUGGCCUACCAAGGCGACGAUACGUAGCCGACCUGAGAGGGUGAUCGGCCACACUGGGACUGAGACACGGCCCAGACUCCUACGGGAGGCAGCAGUAGGGAAUCUUCCACAAUGGACGAAAGUCUGAUGGAGCAACGCCGCGUGAGUGAAGAAGGUUUUCGGAUCGUAAAACUCUGUUGUAAGGGAAGAACACGUACGAGAGUAACUGCUCGUACCUUGACGGUACCUUAUUAGAAAGCCACGGCUAACUAC
This 495-nucleotide ribosomal RNA is filed under the name uncultured bacterium. RNAcentral describes it as "bacterial SSU rRNA". It matches the Rfam family "Bacterial small subunit ribosomal RNA", at positions 30 to 504 of the family's 1533-position model. The record is from RNAcentral.